AAUCCACCAAAAAAAAAAAAGCAAUAUCAGGGUGGAUUUAAAAACAACAACAACAGAUCCUCAGAAGAAGAGAGACCUGAAUUCAAGACCUCUAUCUAACAUCUCCUGUCUAUGUGACCUUCUGUCCCAUGCAGGGAAGCAUCCCUACCUGGCUAUGGGUGCAAGAGUUUAUGGAAAAGCAUGGACAAGAAUCAGACAGAAUGAGAAGGCAUGAAUGGGCCACAAACUUCAUUAAUGGAAGAAGAAAAAUAGAAUAUGCUGAUGACCCUGCAGACUUAUGGAAGCAAUAAGAGAUCAAAGAAGGAGAGAAAAGAUUCUGCAUGAAGCAAGAUUAUUUAGAGCAGCUCUUUCUGUGGUGGCAAAAACUGGAAACAGAGGGGAUAGUCAAUCAAUUAGAAGAAGUCUGAACAAGUUAUGUGAUGGAAUAGGAUUGUGCUGGACAGAACAGAUUUCAGAGAAACUUGGGAAGAUCUAUAGGAAGAACCAAAAGGAUCAGCUAUUAAUAAUAGAAAUUCUACAAAGACAAACAACCUUGAAAGACUUGAGAAUCAACAAAGUAAUGAACAACAAAUCCAGAGGAUUCAUAAUGAUGUACACUACCUACCUCCAGAUAAAGAACUGAUGGACUCAAUACACACUGAAGCUUUUCUUCUUCUUUUUUUGGGGGGGGGGGGGGGGGCAUGGUUGUUUUGUUAUAAAUAUUUGUAACAGGUUUCGUUUUUUCAGUGGGAAGAGGAGAGAGGAAAAGAAUUCAGAGCUGAAAAGAAAAUAGAUUUCCCCCCAUUUGUUUAUGUCUGUUUUCAAUGUGGAAUCAGAUUCUACAUUGAUAUUGUCUUUAUUUCUACAUAUUCUAACCCUAUAGUUAAAUUUACAUGGAUCUUGUAGCUAUCUUAAUAGAAUUCCAAAUAUUUUAUACUUCCUAUAGUUAUUUUAAAUGGCACUUUUCUUUCUGUCCCUUCGGAGAUUUAUUGGUGUUUUAUUGAAAUGCCAUUUAUAAAACCAUUUGGAAUUAUUCACAAGAAGUUACUAAAAAGAACACACCUUCUGAUAAAGCUAUUCCAUUGUUAGGCCUAUGCCCCAAAACAGAUAAAAGAACUAGGAAAAGGUCCUCUGUGCCCUAAAAUAAUUUACAGAAGCUCUUAUUGUGAUGUCAAUAAACCUGGAAACUAAAGGGAUGCUUAUCA
This 1184-nucleotide long non-coding RNA is filed under the name Monodelphis domestica (gray short-tailed opossum). Its description in RNAcentral is "lncRNA (ENSMODG00000030072.2)". Lineage: Eukaryota; Metazoa; Chordata; Mammalia; Didelphimorphia; Didelphidae. The record is from RNAcentral.